GUUGACCAUUUGUAUGUCUCCUUUUGAGAAACAUCUAUUCAGACACUUUGUCCAUUUUUUAAUUGGAUUAUUUGUAUUUUUACUGCUGAGUUUUUUAAGUUCCUUGUAUAUUCUAGAUGUUAGUUCCUUGUUGGAUGAAUACAUAGCAAAUAUUUUCUCUAUUCAACAGGUUGCCUCUUCAUUCUGUUGAUUGUUUCAUUUGCUGUGCUGAAGCUAUUUAGUUUAAUAUAGUCCCACUUGUCUAUUUUAUUUUUGUUGCCUGUGCUUUUGAGGUCUUAGCCAUAAAGUCUUUGCCUAGACCCAUGUCUGGAGUGUUUCCUGUAAGCAUUCUUCUAGUAGUUUUAUAGUUUUGGGACUUACAUUUAAAUCUUUAAUCCAUUUUGAGUUGAUUUCUGUAUAUGGUGAGAGACGGUUCUAGUGGUAUUCUUCUGCAUCUGGUAGCAUUUUCCCAGCUCCAUUUAUUCUCCAUUGUUGCUUUUGUUCUUUCUCCAUUGUAUAUUCUCAGUUCCUUUACCAAAAAUGAGUUGGCUAUCAAUGCAUGGAUUUAUUGUGAGUUCUCUUUUGUAUUCCAUUAGUCUAUGUGUCUGUUUUUAUGCUAGCACCAUGCUGAUUUGGUUACUAUAACUUUAUAUUGUAUUCUGAAUUCAGUAAGUGUGAUGCCUCUAGCUUUGUUCUUCUUGCUCAUGAUUGCUUUGGCUAUUUGGGAUAUUUUACGAUUCCAUAUGAAUUUCAUGAUUUUUUCUAUUUCUGUGAAUAAUGAUAUUGGUAUUUUGAUAGGGAUUGAAUUGAAUCUGUAAACUGCUUUGGGUAGUAUGAACAUUUUAACAAUAUUCUCCCAAUUUAUGUGCAUGAAAUUUAUGUGUCUCAUUUUUAAAAUUAAUAUUUAACAAUAUUAAUUCUCCCAAUUUAUGUGUUUUAUUUUUUUUCCUUAGAGACAAGGUCUCACUAUGUUUCCCAGGCUAGUCUUGAACUCCCAGGCUCAAACAAUUCUCCUGUCUCAUCAUCCCAAAGUGCCAGGAUUACAGAGCACAUGAGCCUGCAAGGCCCAGAUCAACACCUGACUCAGACAGAACACCAGGGCAGUGCACAGCUGGGAUUUCAGUCUCUGCUCUCAGCUCCCAGGUCCACUGGCUCUACUGAGGGCACCUACACUCUGCAGCCAGGCGGCCUGGAUUGAACGCCCUGCCCAGGACCCACACACAGGCACUGCAGCAGCGACAGGAGGAGGGGUUGCUGGGAACAGGAAGGACACCACCGCUUGGCCUCGGGCACCGGAGGGACAACCUGGAGGGCUCCGGGAGCACCGCAAAGGUCCAAGCGGAGCCAAUCCUCACAAGCCCAGGGAAGGGCAACGUGACAGACCGGUGGGACAGCCCCACCGCCGCGAAGAGGGGCUGCCCAAAAGGCAACAGCCAUAGGAGAUGAGCAGGGGUGCCUGCUGCGUCGGAGAACUCAUCUCCCCAACCCCACCGACGCCACAAGGUAGAGGGCGAGGACAGCGAGGUCGGCCGGAUUCCGCACCCCUGCCUCCAACCACCGCCCAUGGGCGGGGAGGAGAGACUACCGGCCGCAAGCGGAACGCAGAACGAGAAAAGCCGUCCCGUUAGCCAUGAAUGUGUCCCUCAUCUGUACCGCCUCCGGCCCCGCCCGGGAGAACGCGACGUCACCACAUCCAUCACUUGUUCUCUUUCACUCUUCCCGUUCUUUCCUUUUCCCAGUAUAUUUAUAUAGUAAUUAUGUUUAAUUCAGCCACUCCUUGUUUUUUUCCGUGACUCAUCUUCUCAUAUGUCAACUUGACUACUUUUCACUUGCUUCGUAGUAUUUGUUCUUCCUCAAGUUAAUACUUGCCUUUGUUUUUAUGUUCUAGAUAACUCUCAUUAAUUUAACUUUGAUAUCUGUUCCAUUUCUGUGACUCUGUUAAGAAAUUAGAGACUUUGAACUUUCUAUUAAUUUUACUUUCUUGGAAAUGUCCCUCUUGGGCCCUUCUGGCUGCUCCCAUCUGGACUGGAGGCUUCUACCUGUGGGACAGAGUCACCUUCCUAGGAUCUCCCUCCACCACCAUCUGGGGCGGUGCUUUACAUGCAGUGGAGCCACCUGGGGUCCUGACAAAUGCAGACUGAUCAACCUGUCAAGGCUGGGCCUGUGAGCCUUUCUGUCCAGUUUCAUGAGAUGCUGGUUCUGCUGGUUCAUGGAUAAUAGCUGGGGUAGCAAGGAUCUCUCUUUUUGUCUCACAGUUUUCUGCAUCUCUUUUUCAUAGUAAGCACAUGCUAAUAUAUUUUCAAUAAAUUCAUGUGCUCUUUUCCUAAGUUGGUAUCAGAGCUAAUUAUUUUUUUCAUUGCGCCAAAAUCCAUAUUAUAUAAAAUUUGGUAUCGUAACAAUUUUUAAGUAUAGAGUACUAUAAUAUGAACUGUAGCACAUUGUUAUGCAACAGAUCUCUAGAACUUUUCAUCUUGCAAAACUGAAACUCUACGCUGAAAAUCUCCUCAUGAAUCCCCCCAGCCUAACCACUGGCAGCCGCCAUUCUACUUUCAGGUUCUAAGAGUUUAGACGCCGCAUAUAACGAAUUGCGCAGUAUUGGAAUUUCCUUGUGAUUGGCUUAUUACACUUAGCAUUGUUCUCCAGGUUCAUCCAUGUUGCAGCAUGUAACAGAAUUUCCUUCUUUUUAAGGUUGAAUCAUAUUCCAUUGCCUACAUAGACCACAUGUUCUUCAUCUAUUCAUGUGUUGAUGGGUGCUUUGUUUGCUUCCUUGUCUUGGCUAUGGUGAGUAAUGUUGCUGUGAAUACGGGUAUGCAAUGUUUUUCUUUUUUACAGCCUCCCUCAUUUCAGUGGAAUUAAUGUUUUAGUAGCUACUUCUGAUAGCACAUAUUUAAAGUAUUUUUGCAUGCAUCAAUGUGUCCAUUGUUGUUUUGAUUCUCUCCUGGAAGAGGAUGGAAAUGUAUGAAGGUGCUGUUUGGCACAGUAUUUAAUGGUGAAGAAGAGACGGUGUAACUGACCAGUGCUGGGUCUCAGCAUCCUGCAAUUUCAGAACUACUGUGAAUGCAAAAAUAAUUAAAAAAACCAGUGCUGCCCAGAAAGGGGGAGUCAUCCCUAAAUAUGGCGGCCCUGGGACAGCUGGCCUCCCUGCCAGGCCUCUUCCAUGGGGGCCCUUUUCUGCAGUGACUGGGAUUUCUUUCCAUUUCACUCUACCCUGUGUCCUGACCCAAGAGACAAGGCAUGUCUGCAGCUGUGCCCACACUUGGAGUGUGUCAGUACAUUAUAAACACUGGCUCAGUGGUGUUAGUACAUUAUAAACAUUGGCUUAUCAUGGGUUAUUUUAUUAUUUAUUGUGUAUUUUGAUUUCACUUUACUGGCAACACAAUAAACAAUGACAUGAUGACCCUAGCAAUCACAUCCUCUUUCUU
Long non-coding RNA from Homo sapiens (human), 3401 nucleotides. RefSeq annotates it as long independently transcribed non-coding RNA 3221. The transcript has 3 exons. Lineage: Eukaryota; Metazoa; Chordata; Mammalia; Primates; Hominidae. The record is from RefSeq and is a predicted model, not a curated record.